RNAcentral lists this long non-coding RNA (541 nucleotides) under Lonchura striata (white-rumped munia). RNAcentral describes it as "domestica (Bengalese finch) lncRNA (ENSLSDG00000008479.1)". The record is from RNAcentral. Lineage: Eukaryota; Metazoa; Chordata; Aves; Passeriformes; Estrildidae.
GGGGCUGCGGCCGGCACAGCGGAGCCGCCUCCCGCCGCGCGGCCCCGCGACACGCUGGAAGCCGCCGGGCUGCUCGGGCUGGCGGUAGGUUCGCUGCGCAACAGUGACAACGACGGCAAAGCACCGACGGCCAGUGAGCUACCCCGCUUUCUCCGGGAUAGGCAUCCAUAGUUUUGGAGAUCUAAGCCAAGCUAUAUGCUGCUUCCUGUCCUGUCUCCUAGUGGCAGAUUCAUAAAAGGGAUAGCACAGCCUAGUUGCAUUAUUUUGCUGUUUGUUUCUUCUUCCUACCAUCUUACUGACUUUCUCUUCAGGUAUAAUUUUCAUUUUCUUUUGUAUUUAUAAAGAUUUGUGCCAGCAGUUGAUGCCAGGUAGACAGCUUUCCACUGGGAACUCACUGAACAUUCUCCCACACAGCAGUCACCAUUUGGUAACAGUUUUUGGCCACUACCGAAAAAGGAGCUGCCUAAGAACUUAGAGGUCUUGUGAUCUGAUCCCUUGAAGCACUGGUAAAUUCUCCCACAACACACACCUGAAAUCACAC